This 461-nucleotide ribosomal RNA is filed under the name uncultured bacterium. RNAcentral's name for it is "bacterial SSU rRNA". It matches the Rfam family "Bacterial small subunit ribosomal RNA", at positions 96 to 545 of the family's 1533-position model. The record is from RNAcentral.
UGGCGAAAGGGUGCGUAACACGUGGGAAUUUACCGAGAAGUGGGGAAUAGCUCGACGAGAAGUCGGAAUUAAUACCGCAUACGAUCGCAAGAUCAAAGCCGGGGACCGCAAGGCCUUGGCGCUUUUUGAGAAGCCCGCGGCCAUCAGCUAGUUGGCGAGGUAAAAGCUCACCAAGGCUAUGACGGGUAGCUGGUCUGAGAGGACGACCAGCCACACUGGAACUGAGACACGGUCCAGACACCUACGGGUGGCAGCAGUCGAGAAUUUUUCACAAUGGACCGAAAGUUCUGAUGGAGCGACGCCGCGUGGAGGAUGAAGGUUCUUGGAUUGUAAAACCUCCUGUCACUGCAGAACAAGGCUACACAUGUGAAUAGCGCGUGUAGUUUGAUGGUAUGCGGAGAGGAAGGGACGGUAACUCUGUGCCAGCAGCCGCGGUGAGACAGGAGGUCCCGAGCGUUGUU